UUUCCGUAGGUGAACCUGCGGAAGGAUCAUUCAUUCUAUGUGAAUUAACACCAAUCUUUAACUAUUUAUCUUCGUCCUGGGCCAUAACAGGGUGGAAUUUUCUCUCGAGAGGAUCGGCUCCAUACGUCCACGAUCUCUCAACUCUUUGUCUGAAACAUGUUAUGAAUGUAGCACUUUUAUUUACAACUUUCCACAACGGAUCUCUUUGUUCUGCCAUCGAUGCAGUCGGCAGACGACUGGUGGAGCCCAAGUAUGAACACCCGUCACUACGUAUGA
Molecule: unclassified non-coding RNA, 276 nt
Filed under: plant metagenome
Description: partial contains small subunit ribosomal RNA, internal transcribed spacer 1, and 5.8S ribosomal RNA
Source: RNAcentral